Molecule: non-coding RNA, 766 nt
Filed under: Glena unipennaria
Lineage: Eukaryota; Metazoa; Arthropoda; Insecta; Lepidoptera; Geometridae
Also listed under: 1 other name
Source: RNAcentral
UAAAAAUUUUAUUUUAGUUUGGAAAUUAUAUAUAAAUUAUAAUUACAUGUAAAUAUUUAUGAUAUUUUAUAUUAAUUUUAAAUAAAUUAUUAAUUUAUAAACAGUAAUGAAUUUUAAUUUUUUUUUAAUGAAAGAUUUAGGUAAAUUUAAAAAUACUAACUAAUUUUGUGCCAGCAGUUGCGGUUAGACAAAAAGUAUUUUAUAAUUUUUUUAAAAAUUAAUUAAUAUUUAUUUUUAUUUAUUUUAUUUAAUAUUAAGUGAAAUUUUAUUAAAUAAUUAAUUUUAUUAUUUGAAUAUGAGGUUAAUAAAUUUAAUUUAUAAACUAGGAUUAGAUACCCUAUUAUUUUAAAAGUAAAAUAAAAUUUUAGAUUAGUAUAAGUUAUAUUCUGGAAAUUUAAAAGAUUUGGCGGUAUUUUAGUCUUAUUAGAGGAACCUGUCUUGUAAUUGAUAGUCCACGAUUAAAUUUACUUUAUUUUGUUUGUAUAUCGUCGUUGGCGAAUAUUUUUAAAAAAUUAAUAUUCUUAAUAUUUAAUUAAAUAAUAAGUUAGAUCAAGGUGCAGCUUAAUAAAGGAUUGAUGGGUUACAUUUAAUUUAUUAUAGGAUAAUAAAUUUUAAAAUUUUUUUGAAUUUGGAUUUAAAUGUAAUUUUAAUUAUAUAAUUAAAAUGAUCUUAGCUCUAAAAUAUGUACAUAUCGCCCGUCGCUUUCAUUUUCAAUUGAAAUAAGUCGUAACAUAGUAGAUUUACUGGAAAGUGAAUCUAGAAAGAU